This is a long non-coding RNA of Herpailurus yagouaroundi (jaguarundi), 433 nucleotides long. RefSeq lists it as uncharacterized. The transcript is spliced from 2 exons. Lineage: Eukaryota; Metazoa; Chordata; Mammalia; Carnivora; Felidae. The record is from RefSeq and is a predicted model, not a curated record.
AUUAUUCAAAUAAAUGGUAAGAUACUAGGUGGGCGGUGACUUCUUAAGCUUUGUAUAAAUCCCAAUACAUUUCAGGAACUGGAGAUCCCCUUAUUAAUACAUAUAUUCAAAUAUUCUGAGAAGUAUCAAAACAAAAAUCUCUGAGAAUAUUAUAAUUUUAAUGGUUCCUUAUAACACGCAGCAUUUAUUAGUCUUUUAAAAUCCAAUAAAUCCCCCUGCCUAGAUUAGCCCUAUUGACUAGAUAAAAGUGAUAGAUGUAUUCAAGAAAAAAGGAAUAAAAUGAAAAGUAAAAGGUUACCUUCCCAUUCUGGCUGCCUCCCAUCCAGUUUCUCUCUUUAAAGGUAACCACUCUUAACAGAUUCUGGCAUCUCCAUCCAGGGAAAAAUCUUACGCAUGUAGUAGAUAGACCGUGUCUAUCCUUUGUUUUUAAUUA